GGGCCCGCACAAGCGGUGGAGCAUGUGGUUUAAUUCGAUGAUACGCGAGGAACCUUACCAGGGCUUAAAUGUAAGUUGCAUAAAUCAGAGAUGAUUUUUUCUUCGGACUACUUACAAGGUGCUGCAUGGUUGUCGUCAGCUCGUGCCGUGAGGUGUCAGGUUAAGUCCUAUAACGAGCGCAACCCCUGUCGUUAGUUGCCAUCAAGUAAUGUUGGGUACUCUAGCGAGACUGCCGGUGCAAACCGAGAGGAAGGUGGGGAUGACGUCAAAUCAUCACGGCCCUUACGUCCUGGGCUACACACGUGCUACAAUGGCCGGUACAGAGAGCAGCCACUACGCGAGUAGGAGCGAAUCUUCAAAACCGGUCUCAGUUCGGAUCGCAGUCUGCAACUCGACUGCGUGAAGCUGGAAUCGCUAGUAAUCGGAUAUC
RNAcentral lists this ribosomal RNA (430 nucleotides) under uncultured bacterium. RNAcentral's name for it is "bacterial SSU rRNA". It matches the Rfam family "Bacterial small subunit ribosomal RNA", at positions 917 to 1350 of the family's 1533-position model. The record is from RNAcentral.